CGCUGCUUUACCAUGCAGUCGAACGGUAACAGGUCUUCGGAUGCUGACGAGUGGCGAACGGGUGAGUAAUACAUCGGAACGUGCCUAGUAGUGGGGGAUAACUACUCGAAAGAGUAGCUAAUACCGCAUGAGAUCUAAGGAUGAAAGCAGGGGACCUUCGGGCCUUGCGCUACUAGAGCGGCUGAUGGCAGAUUAGGUAGUUGGUGGGAUAAAAGCUUACCAAGCCGACGAUCUGUAGCUGGUCUGAGAGGACGACCAGCCACACUGGAACUGAGACACGGUCCAGACUCCUACGGGAGGCAGCAGUGGGGAAUUUUGGACAAUGGGCGAAAGCCUGAUCCAGCAAUGCCGCGUGUAGGAUGAAGGCCCUCGGGUUGUAAACUACUUUUGUACGGAACGAAAAGACACCUUCUAAUACAGGGUGUCGAUGACGGUACCGUAAGAAUAAGCACCGGCUAACUACGUGCCAGCAGCCGCGGUAAUACGUAGGGUGCAAGCGUUAAUCGGAAUUACUGGGCGUAAAGCGUGCGCAGGCGGUUAUGUAAGACAGAGGUGAAAUCCCCGGGCUCAACCUGGGAACGGCCUUUGUGACUGCAUAGCUNGAGUACGGUAGAGGGGGAUGGAAUUCCGCGUGUAGCANUGAAAUGCGUAGAUAUGCGGAGGAACACCGAUGGCGAAGGCAUCCCCUGGACCUGUACUGACGCUCAUGCA
RNAcentral lists this ribosomal RNA (711 nucleotides) under Comamonas sp. MYb132. Its description in RNAcentral is "bacterial SSU rRNA". It matches the Rfam family "Bacterial small subunit ribosomal RNA", at positions 43 to 753 of the family's 1533-position model. The record is from RNAcentral. Lineage: Bacteria; Pseudomonadati; Pseudomonadota; Betaproteobacteria; Burkholderiales; Comamonadaceae.